This 639-nucleotide ribosomal RNA is filed under the name uncultured Actinomycetes bacterium. RNAcentral describes it as "bacterial SSU rRNA". It matches the Rfam family "Bacterial small subunit ribosomal RNA", at positions 232 to 885 of the family's 1533-position model. The record is from RNAcentral. Lineage: Bacteria; Bacillati; Actinomycetota; Actinomycetes.
CGCGGCCUAUCAGCUUGUUGGUGAGGUAACGGCUCACCAGGGCGACGACGGGUAGCUGUUCUGAGAGGAAGAUCAGCCACACUGGGACUGAGACACGGCCCAGACUCCUACGGGAGGCAGCAGUGGGGAAUCUUGCGCAAUGGGCGAAAGCCUGAUGCAGCAACGCCGCGUGCGGGAAGAAGGCCCUAGGGUUGUAAACCGCUUUCAGUAGGGAAGAAAAUGACGGUACCUACAGAAGAAGGUGCGGCCAACUACGUGCCGGCAGCCGCGGUGACACGUAGGCACCAAGCGUUAUCCGGAUUUAUUGGGCGUAAAGAGCUCGUAGGCGGUUUGGUAAGUCGGGUGUGAAAACUCUGGGCUCAACCCAGAGAGGCCACCCGAUACUGCUAUGACUAGAGUACGGUAGGGGAGCGGGGAAUUCAUGGUGUAGCGGUGAAAUGCGCAGAUAUCAUGAGGAACACCGAUGGCGAAGGCAGGUCUCUGGGCCACAACUGACGCUGAGGAGCGAAAGCGUGGGGAGCGAACAGGAUUAGAUACCCUGGUAGUCCACGCCGUAAACGGUGGGCACUAGGUGUGGGCAACAUUCCACGUUGUCCGUGCCGCAGCUAACGCAUUAAGUGCCCCGCCUGGGGAGUACGG